Molecule: unclassified non-coding RNA, 260 nt
Filed under: uncultured fungus
Lineage: Eukaryota; Fungi
Description: sequence contains ITS2
Rfam family: 5.8S ribosomal RNA (bases 1-52)
Source: RNAcentral
AACGCACAUUGCGCCCGCCAGUAUUCUGGCGGGCAUGCCUGUCUGAGCGUCAUUUCAACCCUCAUGCCCCUAGGGCGUGGUGUUGGGGAUCGGCCAAAGCCCGCGAGGGACGGCCGGCCCCUAAAUCUAGUGGCGGACCCGUCGUGGCCUCCUCUGCGAAGUAGUAAUAUUCCGCAUCGGACAGCGACGAGCCCCUGCCGUAAAACCCCCAACUUUCCAAGGUUGACCUCAGAUCAGGUAGGAAUACCCGCUGAACUUAA